RNAcentral lists this ribosomal RNA (2569 nucleotides) under Aeromonas veronii Hm21. RNAcentral describes it as "bacterial LSU rRNA". It matches the Rfam family "Bacterial large subunit ribosomal RNA", at positions 358 to 2925 of the family's 2925-position model. Lineage: Bacteria; Pseudomonadati; Pseudomonadota; Gammaproteobacteria; Aeromonadales; Aeromonadaceae. The record is from RNAcentral.
UACAGGGUGAUAGCCCCGUACACGAAAACAACCUUGAUGUGAAAUCGAGUAGGGCGGGACACGUGACAUCCUGUCUGAAUAUGGGGGGACCAUCCUCCAAGGCUAAAUACUCCUGACUGACCGAUAGUGAACCAGUACCGUGAGGGAAAGGCGAAAAGAACCCCUGUGAGGGGAGUGAAAUAGAACCUGAAACCGUGUACGUACAAGCAGUGGGAGCCCUUCGGGGUGACUGCGUACCUUUUGUAUAAUGGGUCAGCGACUUACAUUUUGUAGCGAGGUUAACCGUAUAGGGGAGCCGUAGGGAAACCGAGUCUUAACUGGGCGUCUAGUUGCAAGGUGUAGACCCGAAACCGGGUGAUCUAGCCAUGGGCAGGUUGAAGGUUGAGUAACAUCAACUGGAGGACCGAACCCACUAACGUUGCAAAGUUAGGGGAUGACCUGUGGCUGGGGGUGAAAGGCCAAUCAAACUCGGAGAUAGCUGGUUCUCCCCGAAAGCUAUUUAGGUAGCGCCUCGGACGAAUACUACUGGGGGUAGAGCACUGUUUGGGCUAGGGGGUCAUCCCGACUUACCAACCCCAUGCAAACUCCGAAUACCAGUAAGUAAUAUCCGGGAGACACACGGCGGGUGCUAACGUCCGUCGUGAAGAGGGAAACAACCCAGACCGCCGGCUAAGGUCCCAAAGUUCUGGUUAAGUGGGAAACGAUGUGGGAAGGCUCAGACAGCUAGGAUGUUGGCUUAGAAGCAGCCAUCAUUUAAAGAAAGCGUAAUAGCUCACUAGUCGAGUCGGCCUGCGCGGAAGAUGUAACGGGGCUCAAACCAGGCACCGAAGCCGCGGAUUCACACUUAUGUGUGAGUGGUAGGGGAGCGUUCUGUAAGUCUGCGAAGGUGUAUCGAGAGGUAUGCUGGAGAUAUCAGAAGUGCGAAUGCUGACGUAAGUAACGAUAAAGGGGGUGAAAAGCCUCCUCGCCGGAAGACCAAGGGUUCCUGUCCAACGUUAAUCGGGGCAGGGUGAGUCGACCCCUAAGGCGAGGCCGAAAGGCGUAGUCGAUGGGAAGCAGGUUAAUAUUCCUGCACGACUUGUAAUUGCGAUGGGGGGACGGAGAAGGCUAGGUGGGCCAGGCGACGGUUGUCCUGGUGAAAGUGCGUAGGUGGUGUUUCUAGGCAAAUCCGGAGACACAACACUGAGACACGAGACGAACACACUACGGUGUGGAAGCCAUUGAUGCCCUGCUUCCAGGAAAAGCCUCUAAGCUUCAGAUUACAAGUCAUCGUACCCCAAACCGACACAGGUGGUCGGGUAGAGAAUACCAAGGCGCUUGAGAGAACUCGGGUGAAGGAACUAGGCAAAAUAGAACCGUAACUUCGGGAGAAGGUUCGCUCUUGACAGUGAAGUCCCUUGCGGAUGGAGCAGUUGGGAGUCGCAGUGACCAGAUGGCUGGGACUGUUUAUCAAAAACACAGCACUCUGCAAACACGAAAGUGGACGUAUAGGGUGUGACACCUGCCCGGUGCCGGAAGGUUAAUUGAUGGGGUUAGCGCAAGCGAAGCUCUUGAUCGAAGCCCCGGUAAACGGCGGCCGUAACUAUAACGGUCCUAAGGUAGCGAAAUUCCUUGUCGGGUAAGUUCCGACCUGCACGAAUGGUGUAACCAUGGCCAUGCUGUCUCCACCCGAGACUCAGUGAAAUCGAAUUCGCCGUGAAGAUGCGGUGUACCCGCGGCUAGACGGAAAGACCCCGUGAACCUUUACUACAGCUUGGCACUGAACAUUGAACCUACAUGUGUAGGAUAGGUGGGAGGCUUUGAAGGCGUGACGCCAGUUGCGCUGGAGCCGUCCUUGAAAUACCACCCUUGUAUGUUUGAUGUUCUAACGCAGGGCCCUGAAUCGGGCUCGCGGACAGUGCCUGGUGGGUAGUUUGACUGGGGCGGUCUCCUCCCAAAGAGUAACGGAGGAGCACGAAGGUUGGCUAAUCCUGGUCGGACAUCAGGAGGUUAGUGCAAUGGCAUAAGCCAGCUUAACUGCGAGACGGACAGGUCGAGCAGGUACGAAAGUAGGUCAUAGUGAUCCGGUGGUUCUGAAUGGAAGGGCCAUCGCUCAACGGAUAAAAGGUACUCCGGGGAUAACAGGCUGAUACCGCCCAAGAGUUCAUAUCGACGGCGGUGUUUGGCACCUCGAUGUCGGCUCAUCACAUCCUGGGGCUGAAGUCGGUCCCAAGGGUAUGGCUGUUCGCCAUUUAAAGUGGUACGCGAGCUGGGUUCAGAACGUCGUGAGACAGUUCGGUCCCUAUCUGCCGUGGGCGUUGGAUGAUUGAAGGGAGUUGCUCCUAGUACGAGAGGACCGGAGUGAACGAACCUCUGGUGUUCGGGUUGUCACGCCAGUGGCACUGCCCGGUAGCUAAGUUCGGAAUCGAUAACCGCUGAAAGCAUCUAAGCGGGAAGCGAGCCCUGAGAUGAGUCAUCCCUGACCCCUUGAGGGUCCUAAAGGGCCGUUGGAGACCACAACGUUGAUAGGUGGGGUGUGUAAGCGCGGCGACGUGUUGAGCUAACCCAUACUAAUUACCCGUGAGGCUUA